Non-coding RNA from Ornithorhynchus anatinus (platypus), 72 nucleotides. Lineage: Eukaryota; Metazoa; Chordata; Mammalia; Monotremata; Ornithorhynchidae. The record is from Rfam.
AGCAGUGUGGCUCAGUGGAAAGAGCACAGGCUUGGGAGGCAGAGGUCAUGGGUUCUAAUCCCGUAUCUGCCA